Molecule: long non-coding RNA, 5517 nt
Filed under: Solanum lycopersicum (tomato)
Lineage: Eukaryota; Viridiplantae; Streptophyta; Magnoliopsida; Solanales; Solanaceae
Description: long non-coding RNA (SLYC_LNC000173)
Source: RNAcentral
UUUGAUCUUGUUCAGUACAGGCUUUAAGACAUAAACAUAUAGGGUGUGCAAAAAUGCAGAAACUUUCAGUAAUGGGUUUGGUAAGUAUACUUUGUAUUUUGUGAAAUUCUUUUUGUGUGCACAUAAAGGAAAACGUACACAUGGUUUAUGCAAUUAUUCUUUCUCAUCAAAUUGCAUGUUCUUUAAUUCCUUUCUGACUGUUAUAAGGCUUACAGAAAUACUUUUUAAAGAUGUGCUAAUUUUACCUUCAACUCAGAGGCUGAAUUUUAUGUAUUUUGACUUAUUAAUUUAUAAGUUGAGGGUAAGACGAUAGAUUCACAUUCAAUCACAAAAAGAGGGUAAGAUAACUGAUUCAUGUCUAAUCGCACUAAAAAGGUAAGAUAUCAGGUUUAAGCCUUGCUGUACCGUGAUAAAUUAAAGAUGUUGAGUUCAAGUCUCAUGAUUUGUGGCUUUAAGUCCCUUUUUAUGGAUAAGACGUUGAGUUUGAGUCUCGUGCACUAUAUUGAUGAUAUAAUUAUGACUAAAGAAAAACAAUAUAGUUUUUAAAUGAAAUUUAGUCAUAAAACCUUAUUCAAUUGAAACAACUCCAUUCCCUAAAUGAAUGUGGUAGUCGUGCAUAUUAUGUCUUAAAAAAGGCAAGUGAUUGAAUAAUGCACAUGAAUAUGGAAUGAGAUACUAAAGUUAUCAUAAUUUGAUAUGCUCACAUGUUUGUGUUCCAUUCAUGAAGAAUGAGAACUUUUGAUAAAUGCUAAAAAUAUAGAUCCAUUCUUUAAAGUGAAUGAGGCGUAAGCCACAACGCUAGAUGUGAAAAAGAUUGUAACAUUUGAUUGUAGAUGUGGUAUAUAUCAUCAAGAAUGUCUCUAGGCAGACAUAUGUUGAAGAAAGUUUCAUACUAUAUCUUUUGAUUUUUAUUGAAUAACAAUUAGUGCGAUUGAGACACUUUUAAUAGUAAAUAAGAAGUUUACUAAUUUUCAUACUUUACUAGUUCGACAUGAUCGUCUGGGACAUCAUGGAUCUAUAAUGAUGAGAUUAAUUAUAGAAAACUACAAUUGGACAUCCAGUUAAGAAUUGAAAUAUUCUUUUAAAUGAUAUAUUUUCUUGUACUGCUAGUUAGCAAGGAAGCUAAUUGUGAAACUAUCACAAACAAAAGUUGAGAUUAAGUCACUUACGUUUUAGGAACGUAUACAUAAGGAUAUAUGUCUCAUAUUCACCCAUUUAGUGGGUUGUUUAGAUUUUUCAUGGUCUUAAUAGAUGAUCCUUCUAUAUGGUCUCAUAUGUGACUGUUGUCAUCUAGCAACUUGGUGUUUGUAAAAUUGUUGGCACAAAUAAUAUGAUUACUAACACAAUUUUUUUAUCAGAUUAAGUUCAUUCGCCUUGAUAAUAAUGUAGAGUUUUUAUCUCAAGCAUUUAAUGAUUAAUGUCUAUCAAUUGGGAUUGAAAAAACUCAAUUAAAGUGAAUGUGAUAGUGAAAAAUAAAGUUCUUUGAUACAGAUUUGAUUUUACUGUGAUGGGAUCACGAUUCACCUUCAGAAAAGGUAGAGAAAUUGAGAAGAAAUAAAUCUAAAAAUUACUCUCGGAGUAGUAAAAUUGAAAUUUUCUCAUAUUAUAGUAAAGAAGAAAUUUAUUAAAUCAAAAUGCACAUAACAUAGUAAACUUGGAGUUUACAAAUACUAGUAAUAUUAUUCGUUGACAUGAAUGAUUCGAUCAUCCCAAAGAUGUGUUUACUAAGUAAUAGACAUACAUUGACGAACUAGAAUAUUCUUCAAGAAUUCUUUUGUUUCUUGUUUUCAUGAUAAGUUGAUUGAAUCAACUAAUGCUGGGACUAAAUACUUAAAGUUUGAAUAGUAUGUGAAUUUGGGCCCGUUUGUAACAACCCUAAAAAUGGAUAUGCUAAGUAAUGCUUAAUGUGUCUAGAAUGCCUACCAUUAGACCGGAUUCACACGGAUUGAUGCGCGUAGAAUCAAACCUUUGAACCCUUGCGAUAGCCAAGCAAACUAACUUGGAGAGUUAGUUGAUCUAGGAAAGGUUGGGUUCAACCAUAUAGGACUUCUGAAUAUGAAGAUUUACCCGGAUGAGUCUUUACUAGACUUAAAAAGGGAAAAUCUUAAGUUUGGAGGGUCUAGGGGUAAAAUGGUCUUUUUCUAGGAUAAGGGUAGUAUCGUAAUUAUCCUAAAUAUGUAAUUAAUUAUUUAAGUGAUAAAGUGGAGGGGAAUUAUGGGGAGAAAAGGUCGAAAAUUGGCCUUUGAGUGAAGUCUUGCUUCACCCACAUUCGAACCUAGGUGGAAGCAAUGAUUUAAAUUGUUUUCAUUUAAAUUGUAAAUUAACUUAAUUAAUUAAUAUUUAUUAGCUGAUUUAAUAAAAAGGAAAAUCAGAUUUUUAAAGGGUUGAAAGAGUCCUAGUUUGACUAAGUCCUUACCUAAGCCUAAACUACCUUUCACGUUUCACUCUCUCACGUCAAUAUCUCACCUUCACGAUCAUUCUUUUAUUUUUCAUGUUUCUAUGCAAAGAAAAAUUACUAAAGCAGAAAAAUUACUAAUAAAAAUAUAAGAAAAAUAAGCUAAUAAAAAACGUUAGGCAAAAGGGAGGGUUAUUCCGUCGAUUUGGUGUUAAAGUUGAGGGGAUUUGGACGUGAUUUUUGGAGAAGGUGUUGGGCAGAAAGUCAAGGUUUGAACUACAUAAAAGGUAUGAGUUUUCUUACUCUUGGUCCCUUUCCCAAUGGACCCCUAGGAUUCAGUCGAUUCUAAUCCAAAAACUACGAUUGUUUCCCCGUUGCAUGUCCCUGUCACUAGCUCUUAUCGAUGGUUGUAGGUAGGUAUGUCUGCUGGUAGAUAUUAGGCAUGUAAUGUAUUUUCGUGAUGAAUAUGUUCAUGAAUGCGUGUUUGGAAUCGUAUGAAUGAUAACCUAAAUUUUUUCGAAAAUGUGUUUAUGUGUGUGCAAUGUGUAGCCGUGACUUUGAACACAUAUUGAAGCAUGAAAAUGAUUUAUUUUAUGGUUGUAUUUCACGUGCACAAACUUUUAUAAAUCUGAUGUUCAUAUGAAGUAUAAGGUGACUGAUUUGAGUGGAAACUAUUAUCUAAAUGAAUCCACUAAAUGCACCCAAAGAUGUACUACAUGAUCCAAGAAUUACCCUAAGAACUAGCAUGUAAUGUUGAUGAAAAGGAUGCUGAAAACGUACAUAAUUUCCAGCUAUAUGUUGAUGAGUUUCGGUCAAGCUAAGUGGUUUAGUAUGUUAUGAAUUAAUAAAUUAAAAUAAAUGAGGUCACUGAGGAUCGAACCCGUGACCUCACCAUGUUAAAAGUCAUAGAAAUAAUGUAAGUUAAAAAGAAUGUGGAAAGGGGAAUUCAAACCAGUGACCUCGACCCAAAAUGAAGUACAAAAUAAAAGAAAAUGAGAAAUGAGAGGAGUGGGAUUCGAACCCACCACCUCACAGUCAAAUUUAAGGAAAAGUUAAAAGAAAAAUAAAAGGUUGAGGCAUGUGGGAAUCGAACUCAUGACCUCUAGGUAGAAUGAAGGGAAUUUAUGGAGAAAAAUUAAAGUGGGGCUGUGGGAGUUCGAACUCACACCCCUCGGCCAAGAAGGAGAGAAAUUAAAGAAAAUAAAAUAAAAGGAAAUGAUGUUAUAGGGGUUCGAUCCCACAUCCUCUCAGUCCCAAAUGAACGAAAAAUGAAGAGAGAAAUUAAGAAAAAAUAAAAUGAAGGUGUUGCGGCUCAAUCUUGGGUCCCCAAGCCGUGUGGAUCAAACCAAAAUAAAUAUAAGUGUUGUCCAAGGGAUUCAAAAUCGGGUUCCCUUGCCCAAAUUCCGUAUUGAUACAUAAGUUAUAUGUGAAUAAAUGUUCAAAAAUAAUGUUGCCUACAUAGAUCAAAAUCGAGAUCUUGGCACACUUACAAGAUGCAUAAGUCUUGUACCACAUAAUCUUAGGAAGAUAUGAACCACUUAAACGAACUAUGAAUGAAGUCUCAUGGCUUGUAUGUAUAAACCCAUAAGUCUAGCAUACGUUUAAAGUAAGUGAACCUAAGAUGUAUGUAACUAAAUGAUAAACCCUAGAAGAGUCAAGUAAGGGUGUGAAACACACUAAAUGGCCAAGUGCAUUGGCAUACGAUGAAAUGAACAUUCACAUAAAGGGGUGAGUAAUUAUGAAAAGCAUAUGUGCAAAAGUUAAUGAAUGAGGUAACAAUAUGAUAAGAGGAUAAUGUGAAAGAUGAGAACAAUCUCAAAUGAGCCUAAGUAAAUAUUACCAAAAUGUACUCACCUAUGAGAGUGUAAAGUUAAUAAAGAGACCAGUCUCUAUAAACACUCUAAUGAAAGUAUUGAAGUUAAUGCAUACUUAAUACUAAUGAUGAUAUGAGAAAUCAUCUAAUGAGCUAUGAUGUCCUCAUACUAGAAGUCAACUUCCAUGAUGUAUGAGUUGAAUGUAAUGAAACUUUAUGCUGAGCAUCGAUAGGCUAGCUAUUAUUGGUGAUGCCUUCCUUCGGGAAGGCGGAGGUUCACGUAACUCGCAUGAGAUGAGACUGUCCAGCAUGCCCGGUAUGGAUCUCCUUAUAUCUCCUAGUCUUUAAACCAAUACUGCAAAUAUAGGAAUCUAGUAGGGUUCAAUACCCUAUAUACACUAGCAUGUUUUGGGUUACUUUGGCCGGUGAUUCCACCUCUUUACGGUGUGGGGCAGACACUGGAUUUCAUGAUACUCACAUGAUCUAUGUUGGUUAAAGUUAAAGUUUCCCAUGAAUGAAUGAGGCCGGCAUCAAAUGAUGCACAUAAUGAAAUGAAUGAUACCAAAGGUGUUAUGAUAGGAUAAUUAGGAGGUCAUCUAGACUUAAGUAAUGACACUAGGUCAUUCUUGAUCAUUGCACAGCGAACCUGACGAAAGUCUUAAACUACAUCCCAGGUAUAGUUGUGUUUACACUAGCUUAUGAAUGUAUAAAGUGAAGUACGUAUAAAUGAAUAAAGCAGACUCUGUGUUUGCUAAAGAAGGCUCCCUAGUUGAUCCCUCAUUUUUGGGAAGUCUUGAUGUCAAGUCCAUGAUUCCAAAGUUUCAUGGCAUAUGAACGAAUGAUAUGAAAGAUGUUAUGUGUUAUAUGCAAUAUGUUAUGUGCUAUGCGUAAUACGUUAUGUGUUGUGUGAAAUAUGAUACGUAUUAUGAUGCAUGUUACUCUCAUAGCAUGACUUUCCUAAUCCAAAUUUCGCAAGUCCACUAACUUUCCUAAUCCAAAUUUGGCAAGUUUACUGACUUGACUUUUCAUAAAUCAUGUUGUUAGGAAAAAACUAUUCUUACUCAUGCAGGUCCUUGGUGUGUGCUUGCAUAUACCCAUACUUAGUACAAGUGUGUACUAAUCUCAUACAAUAUCUACUUUUAGGUGCAGGCACAAGUGGACGUUAGAUUUUACGGUACGACGUUGCAGCUAUCCGGACAUGGAGUUUACAUCCGGACUUGGUAAGACCUCAUGCUCUCGAGGAUGUCUACCUUAUUAUCUAGCUUACAUGUAGGCUUUAGCUAGUGGAGCAUGUUCCACUAGUGUUUCA